AUAGAGCAUAAUUUAGUCCAUUUUAUAUUAAUAUUAUUAAUGAAUAUCUACAUGAUUUUUGCUUAAUUUAUUGCUUUUAAUAUUAUUUUGCAGAAAAUGGUGUAAAAUGAUAAUUUGGAGAAAAUCCCCCUAAAACCGCCUUAUUUGGAGCAAAAAAGAGCAAGCCUGCUAAGUUGGAUUCAAAACGAGCUGGAUGAGGAAAAUAUUUGGAAAUUUAAAUAUUCAAGCACUUCACGCAAUGGGCAGCCCAUUCUCGCCAACGCAUUGGACAAAGCAAAGCCCAAUUCACUUCACGCGGACCACACUCGCGCAUGGCCCGCCUUCACCAAUCUUCACUUACACCUGGGCCCCGCCGCUUCAAUGCUCACUUCAGCCACCUUCACAUGGCCAGCACUUCACCGUGGACAAGCCAAGCACGAGGACCAACCCGCACAUGGACCAGACAGCCCAUCCUCACAAUUGCGGGCCAAAUACAUGCUCACACCUCACCAUUCCCUCCAGUGGCCCACUCUCACGCACAAGGGACGCGGACAGCCCAAGCACGCCAACGCACAUGGACCUUCCACUUGCAACAUGGCCCGCCACUCACGCUCCCACUUCAACCCACGCAUGUGGACCGCACGUUCAUCCAGCGUGGGCCCACGCUUCAUCACUCUUUUCACGUGGACCAAGGCAUUCCAGCAGCUCUCUUCACGUGGCCCAUUCCCGCCUUCACAACCUUCGCACACAUGGCGGCCCAUUCCCAGCACACGGACGGCAAAUCACGCGCAUGCGGGACCGCAAUUUCCCAAUUAGGGCGUCUCCUCUACAACUCUAUAUAAAGAGCCUUAAGACAAACAGAGAUGACCUCGAAUUUUCCCUCGGCAAUUCCGCAGGCGCAAGGCAGAAGUUCUUCGGUUCUUUCCUUCCUUUUUUUUUUUAAUUUUUUUUUUAUUUUUAAUUCAAUCAAUGAAUGGCUGAAUUUCUUUAAUCUAGUUGGAUAAUUGGUUGAAACUUUAGUUGUUUAAUGGGUUGUGAGACUUAAUUAAAUAUUGUUUAACUUUUGGGUAUUUAAUAUUCAUGCAAUUUCAUACUUAAUUUUUAUAUUAUUCUGUUAUUGAGAUCUACGUUGAUUUUUAAUUGCAAAAUAAUUAUUUGUUAGUUUGAAUAAUUUAAAUCCGUAAUUGUUUAGAUUAUUCUUACAUAAGAACACUUGACAUAAAAACUAAGGAAGUUGCAUGAUCUAGCGUUGUCUCCAUACGUUUGGGUAGUUAGGAUUGAAUCUCUCUAUUUUUUAAUGCAAUUGAUAAUUGUUUUGAUGCCUAUAGCUUAAGGACGUUCCUUGGCAAUUUGUUAAUUAGUAAUUGAUUAGAGGACGUUUCCUAAUUAAUUUAAUAAUAAAGAAAGAUAAUAGUGGUGAGACGCGUCUUCCAUCUCCAUAACUAAUAUAUUAAAUCAACCCAAAAGAAUAAAGUGGCUGUGAUCAAUCCCAACAACUAAAGUGGAUCCAAUACUUCAACUAGAGCUUUCUCAUUAUUGAUUACUUUUUAUUUAAUUAUUGCUUUCCAUUAUUUUUCUCAUUAUUAGUUUAUUACAAUCAAUCUCAAACCCCCCAUUUUACUUUUAUUGCAAUUUAUUUUUAUUCUGCUUUCAGUUUAUCUCAUUUGAUCCCACUUUCAGUUUUUAUCUCAUUUUUAGUUUAUUAUUGUUCCAGUUUAUUUUCUUGGUCAUAAAAAGAGAAAUAGGUGAGUUCUCAAUUCUCUGUGGAUUCGAUCCUUUCACCACUAUCUGCAGUUGUAAAUUGUUGAUAACCAGAAAGGUUAUUUUUGACCGGCUUCGACAACCGCGAGUCAAAAAUUGGCGCCGUUGCCGGGGAAUUGAUUUAACUUAUUUGUUUCUCUUUCAGGACCUGAUCUGUAACCCAAAGAACACCAUAUAGCAGAUCUGAAUUAAAAAAAAAAGAGCACACUAUCGCAGAUCAUGCUUGAGGACCUCCGGAAUCGCCCCAAACCAUCGCAGAAUUGAUUCAUGGAUGAGGUAAGUACAUAUAAUCCCCCUUCUCAAAUUCCUGACCUAACCUCUAUUGUGGAAAGCUAUGUCAUAGCUCUACAGGAGCGACGACUUCAGCAGUCUCAACCAUAUAAGAUCUGUGGAUAUGUGGGACAUCUAACGUCCCAAUGUCCUACACUUUAUGAGGAUGACCAACCAGUUCAAGCAUAUGGAGGAUUCUAUGAACAGCCAAGACAUGAUCCCUACCAUAAUACAUACAAUCCAAAUUGGGGAGACCAUCCGAAUUAUGGCUAUGCAAGGGACCAACAAGUACAUGCAUUUGGAGGAUUCUAUGAACAACCAAGACAUGAUCCCUACCAUGACACAUACAAUUCAAAUUGGGGAGACCAUCCAAACUACGGCUAUGCUGGAGCUAACAACUAUCAGGAUUAUCAAGGAAAUCAAGCCCAAGAAGAACCUCCAAGUUUCAACCAACACCUUGAAGAGAAGAUUAGGACAUUGGCGAUUUCUGUGCAAACUCUCCAACAGCAGGUGGAACAAUUGACCACCUCAAUGAGUGCAACCAUGAUAAGAAGAGAGGACGAGUUUCAAGAUGAUGAGACAGAUGAUGAAAGCUCACAAGUACAAGAACAAGCUGCUGAAGAGAAUCAACCAGAAAACUGUUUGUCCAAACAAACUGGUCAAACAAAACUUGUUGUUGAUUUAGAUGUCAUUGAUUAUUUGAGCAAAGAUGUUUUUUAUAUAAAUCAAGAUGAUAUUCUGAGCAAUAAUCUUUGCAGGAAAGAGAGCCAGAAAGAGCCAUAAUUGAAAGAAACUGACUGUUGCAUCCAACAGGUGGACUGCAGCCAUGCACAGAAUGAACAGAAGCAGAUCGCACCGCUUCAGCUUGGUGCGCAGAUCAACCUUGAGCAAGACAGUCCUACAACACUUCCAAUCGCACCUUUUUAGACCAAUCUUGCGAAAAAAGGAGUACCUGAAAGCCUUUCAAAUGCGUCCUUUCAACUUCAAUCGCAGAUCAGUCCUCUUCAGCUCCCCUUUUAGUCAGAUCCUGCGCAGAAGGAGCAAUCUGAAACCAAUUCAGCCAUAGAUCCAAUGCAAACAGCCCAUGCUCACAAGAAACAAAUGGAAUUCCAAGAGCCCAAACCAAAGGAACAUGUGGAUCAAUGCCUCCCCAAACCUCCAGAUAAGGUAGAAUUUAUUUUGCCUAAACUUAAUGCCAAAUUGCAGCCACCUAUGGAGAAAUAUCAAUUGAAGUUAGAAGUGCUAAAAAAUGCAAACAUAAGAGCUAGAGGCACACCUCAUCUGAAAGAGGAGAAGCUAAUCAUGUUACUUCAUGAGUACAUGGAGAAAAUAGGAUGGGCUAUGAAAAAAUCAAAAGGAGUGUUACACUUUUUGCUCAAUGCAGUUGGGACGCUUUUCCCUUCGCCAAUUACUUGAGCCUUGAUCAAGUGGAUCGCACCAUGCACACCACACCCAGGGGAGUACUUAGUUUCCUUUGUUCUUUUAUGUUUCUAUUACAUUGAGGACAAUGCAUGAUUUAGGUGUAGGGGUGCAUAUUUCUGAAUUUUUACUUUUUGAGUUUAUUUUUGCUUUGAUUUUUAGUUUGCUUGCAUCAGUUGAAAUUUUUCAUUUUUGCUUUCAAUAACACACACAAAUAGCCACAGUUUUUUUUAUUUUUGUUUCCGUUUUUUGAGAUACUUUACUCAUCAUAUUGACUAUGUUAGAUGAGCUUUUCUUUCCAUGACCCCAUUGAUGUGAUGACUCUUUAAACUUAUGUUGAAUCAAUUGCAGUGGGUUGUAUUCAUGUUUGAGAAUUGCCUUUUGAAUUGAAUCUUUGAGUUUUCCAUGGUGAAAAAUAUAUUGAUGACCCUCAAUUGAUGAGAAUAAAUUAAAAGUUGUGUGAAUAAACUUAACAUGAUUUGAUUUAGCAAUUGGUGUUGAUUUGCCCAAAUUAUUGAGAGAGAAAAUUUAGCAAAGGCAAAGACCUCAAAAGCACAAAUUAAAAACUGUUCCAAUAGUCAAAAGACUAUGAACAGAGCUAGUAGCCACUUGGAAAGGUGACUAACUGAAUAACUGGGGGUGGGUAUCACAAAUAUGUACCUUCACGUCAAAAGGUUGGUGACUUGUUCAAGCAAAAUUAAAAGUGCAAAAAGCCUGAAUAAAGUACUUCAAGGUAAGGGCAAGUCACUCCGAAAGCUAGAAAAAAUCUUAACAAAAAUGUGCAUGUAUGGUCUCUCUUGAGGAAAACAGAUCCUAGCCAUGGUGAGUAAAGGAAAACAAGGAAAGAAAGUGAGUAAUCUUCAUGCAUAUAUUUUUCACUGCAAUGCUUCAAAAUAGGUGUCUUGAGUAAGAGCUUAAAGUGGAAAUAAGGAUCUAGAGAAAGAGAACUUAUUUGACUAUGUUUAUUUGCUUGAGGACAAGCAAAAGGCUAGGUGUGGGGGUAUUUGAUAGAGCAUAACUUAGUCCAUUUUAUAUUAAUAUUAUUAAUGAAUAUUUACAUGAUUUAUGCUUAAUUUAUUGCUUUUAAUAUAAUUUUGCAGAAAAUGGUGUAAAAGGACAAUUUGGAGAAAAUCUCUCUAAAACCGCCUUAUUUGAAGCAAAAGAGAGCAAGCCUGCUAAGUUGGAUUCAAAACGAGCUGGAUGAGGAAAAUAUUUGGAAAUUUAAAUAUUCAAGCACUUCACGCAAUGGGCAGCCCAUUCUCGCCAACGCAUUGGACAAAGCAAAGCCCAAUUCACUUCACGCGGACCAUACUCGUGCAUGGCCCGCCUUCACCAAUCUUCACUUACACCUGGGCCCCGCCGCUUCAAUGCUCACUUCAGCCACCUUCACAUGGCCAGCACUUCACCGUGGAUAAGCCAAGCACGAGGACCAACCCGCACAUGGACCAAACAGCCCAUCCUCACAAUUGCGGGCCAAAUACAUGCUCACACCUCACCAUUCCCUUCAGUGGCCCACUCUCACGCACAAGGGACGCGGACAACCCAAGCACGCCAACGCACAUGGACCUUCCACUUGCAACAUGGCCCGCCACUCACGCUCCCACUUCAACCCACGCAUGUGGACCGCACGUUCAUCCAGCGUGGACCCGCUCUUCAUCACUCUCUUCACGUGGACCAAGGCGUUCCAGCAUCUCUCUUCACGUGGCCCAUUCCCGCCUUCACAACCUUCGCACACAUGGCGGCCCAUUCCUAGCACACGGACGGCAAAUCACGCGCACGCGGGAUCGCAAUUUCCCAAUUAGGCCGUCUCCUCUACAACUCUAUAUAAAGAGCCUUAAGACAAACAGAGAUGACCUCGAAUUUUCCCUCGGCAAUUCCGCAGGCGCAAGGCAAAAGUUCUUCGGUUCUUUCCUUCCUUUCUUUUUUAUUUUUAUUUUUUUAUAUUUUUAAUUCAGUCAGUGGCUGAAUUUCUUUAAUCUAGUUGGAUAAUUGGUUGAAACUUUAGUUGUUUAAUGGGUUGUGAGACUUGAUCAAAUAUUAUUUAACUUUUGGGUGUUUAAUAUUCAUGCAAUUUCAUACUUAAUUUUUAUAUUAUUCUGUUAUUGAGAUCUACGUUGAUUUUUAAUUACAAAAUAAUUAUUUAUUAGUUUGAAUAAUUUAAGUCCGUAAUUGCUUAGGUUAUUCUUACAUAAGAACACUUGGCAUAAAAACCAAGGAAGUUGCAUGAUCUAGCGUUGUCUCCAUAUGUUUGGGUAGUUAGGAUUGGAUCUCUCUAUUUUUUAAUGCAAUUGACAAUUAUUUUGAUGCCUAUGGCCCAAGGACGUUCCUUGGCAAUUUGUUAAUUAGUAAUUGAUUAGAGGACGUUCCCUAAUUAAUUUAAUAAUAAGGAGAGAUAAUGGUGGUGAGAAGCGUCUUCUAUCUCCAUAACUAAUCUAUUGAAUCAACCCAAAAGAACAAAGUGUCUGUGAUCAAUCCCAACAACUAAAGUGAAUCCAAUACUUCAAUUAGAACUUUCUCAUUAUUGAUUACUUUUUAUUUAAUUAUUGCUUUCCAUUAUUUUUCUCAUUAUUAGUUUAUUACAAUCAAUCUCAAACCCCCCAUUUUACUUUUAUUGCAAUUUAUUUUUAUUCUGCUUUCAGUGUAUCUCAUUUGAUCCCACUUUCAGUUUUUAUCUCAUUUUUAGUUUAUUAUUGUUCCAGUUUAUUUUCUUGGUCAUAAAAAGAGAAAUAGGUGAGUUCUCCUAAUUAAUUUAAUAAUAAGGAGAGAUAAUGGUGGUGAGAAGCGUCUUCCAUCUCCAUAACUAAUCUAUUGAAUCAACCCAAAAGAAUAAAGUGUCUGUGAUCAAUCCCAACAACUAAAGUGGAUCCAAUACUUCAACUAGAGCUUUCUCAUUAUUGAUUACUUUUUAUUUAAUUAUUGCUUUCCAUUAUUUUUCUCAUUAUUAGUUUAUUACAAUCAAUCUCAAACCCCCCAUUUUACUUUUAUUGCAAUUUAUUUUUAUUCUGCUUUCAGUUUAUCUCAUUUGAUCCCACUUUCAGUUUUUAUCUCAUUUUUAGUUUAUUAUUGUUUCAGUUUAUUUUCUUGGUCAUAAAAAGAGAAAUAGGUGAGUUCUCAAUUCUCUGUGGAUUCGAUCCUUUCACCACUAUCUGCAGUUGUAAAUUGUUGAUAACCAGAAAGGUUAUUUUUGACCGGCUUCGACAAUCGCGAGUCAACUUGCCAUGGUGUUGUAUUGAUGAUUUCAAUACUAUUUGCACUGAAGAGGACAAGUUAGGAAGGUGCGAGGUACGCUAUUCUUAGGUGGAAGGUUUUAAUGAAUUUAUUCAAUCAUGUGCUCUGAUGGAACUAACAUGGAAAGGUUCUACUUAUACCUCGUGUAAUAAGCGCUUUGGUGAUCAGGCUAUCCAACAACAUCUAGAUCGUGCUUUGGUUUCUGUUGACUGGAAGGAAUGUUUUUCACGGGCAUAAGUCAUUCAUGAAUCUCUGCUGGAGUCAAAUCAUCAACCUUUGGUUCUAUUGAUUGAUGCUUGUUUUGGUAAGUACAAAUUUUUAUUUGAUUUGGAGGCAAAGUGGUUAUAGCAUCCUCAAUGCGCAGAUGUGAUAUAGCGAGCUUGGAAUGCUCCUAGUCGUGGUUCUACUAUGUUUUCUUUCAUGCGUAAGUCACAUUCAUAUCGAUCUAAGCUUAGUUAUUGGCAUAGACAUGCCUUGAUGGGUGAUUUGGGUCGAACGAAACAACUUUAGCAACAAAUGGAAGAUUUGUAUGCCAGACCUUUCGAUUCACAUAAUGAUGCUCUUGAGGCUCAUUUGGUCACUCAACUUCAUGAUCUUUGGCUUUAGGAUGAAGCACAUUGGAGGCAAAGAUCUCUGAUGUAAUAGUUACAGGAAGGAGAUCAAAAUACUCGAUUUUUUCAUCUAUCGACUAUACAACGACGUCAACAAAAUCGUAUUAAUCGCCUUCAAUCUGCUUCGGGUUGUUGGGUUGAGCGGAACUUUGAGAUUACUUUUCUUAUUUGGAACUUUUUUCAAGAUCUUUAUCAGGCCAAGCUUUUGCAUGGUUGUGAUCAAGUUUUCACCUUGAUACCCUCUUUAGUCUCACCAAAGCUCAACAAGGCUUUGUUGGCACUCUGUCUGAUGAGGAGAUAAAGACAAUAAUUUUUCAAUUGGGUGCCAAUAAAGCUCCAGGUCCUGACAGAUUUUUCAGGUUUGUUUUAUCAGCAUAAUUGAGCUACAGUGGAUUUGUCUUUAUGCAGUGCUAUUAGUAGUUUUUAUAAAAAUAGGUAUUUGCUAAAAGAAAUUAAUUGGACUAAUAUUGUUCUUAUUUUAAAGUGUCACAGCCCACUUGGAAUUCAUCUUUUGUCCUAUCAGUUUGUGCAAUUUUGUGUAUAAAAUCAUUUCCAAGACAGUAGUAAAUAAACUAAAGCCAUGGAUGCACUCUCUUAUCCUUGAUGAUCAAAAUGCUUUUAUUUCUAAUUGAGCCAUUUAGGAUAAUAUUGUGCUUGCUCAUGAGGUCUUUCAUUAUUUAAAGACUUUCAAUAGUCAUCUGCAUACUAUGACUUUUAAACUUUAUAUGUACAAAGCCUAUUAUCAAAUUGAUUAGGGUUUUUUCACGUAUGAUACUAUUGAAAAUGGGGUUUGCUCCACAAUGGGUCCAUUUGAUUUAUACAGUGUAUUUCGAAAGUUAGUUUUUCUAUUCUUGUUAAUGGUGUUCCCACUACUCCUUUUUGGCCUUCUAGAGAUAUUCGACUAGGAGAUUCCUUAUCUCAUUAUCUUUUUUUAUUUAUUUCUUGCAGGUACAGGGUAGACCAGGAGGUCAGUAAGAGUAAUGAAGUUAUGGUCAUGUAAUAGCUAGUGUGGACAUGAUAAAUAUUGAUAUGUUAUGUUGAGUACAGUCAUGUAAAAGUAUGAUAUAGAAAUGUUAUGUAAUAAUGCUUAUGAAGGUUUAGAGUUGUGCUUGACCAUAGUAUUAUGUAAAUCCCUUCUAGUACAUGAUCUUAAUGUUUAUUGAUGUUUAUUGUAAACCAAACUCAAUACAUGGUAUGUCACCCCAGUGGGGCAAUGAUGAGGCUCCAAAGAGGAGUAAAUGUUUAUGACUAUGUUUAUGUAUAGUGCAUGCACAGGUUGAGUUUGGUGAAUGAAUGAAAGAAUAAAUGAAUGGAA
This 8583-nucleotide long non-coding RNA is filed under the name Manihot esculenta (cassava). Its description in RNAcentral is "long non-coding RNA (MESC_LNC001950)". The record is from RNAcentral. Lineage: Eukaryota; Viridiplantae; Streptophyta; Magnoliopsida; Malpighiales; Euphorbiaceae.